AUAUCAUCUGUGGCUCACCUCUCAUUUUUGUGAUUUUUGCAAUUUAAAUUAAACAAUUAAUUGCAUAGUCACAAAAGUGAUGGGUGCUUUGCAGAAUUUGU
Molecule: microRNA precursor, 101 nt
Filed under: Daphnia pulex (common water flea)
Lineage: Eukaryota; Metazoa; Arthropoda; Branchiopoda; Diplostraca; Daphniidae
Description: microRNA dpu-mir-153 precursor
Gene: dpu-mir-153
Rfam family: mir-153 microRNA precursor family (bases 15-87)
Source: miRBase by way of RNAcentral